RNAcentral lists this long non-coding RNA (496 nucleotides) under Anser brachyrhynchus (Pink-footed goose). RNAcentral describes it as "lncRNA (ENSABRG00000022549.1)". The record is from RNAcentral. Lineage: Eukaryota; Metazoa; Chordata; Aves; Anseriformes; Anatidae.
AAGACAGUGCAAUGCAUUUCCUAAAAAGCCAACGCGAUAAAACUUUCCUUCCUUCCUUUCUUCUGUCCUAGAAUAGGUUUUCCUAUGAAUAAUUGUAUGCCCACAGGAGGGGGAAUCAGUAUGUCUGAGGGGUCGAGUAUCUCUCAUGGCAACUGCAGAACGGAACCAGUAACUGCACAGAGCAAACUCGCAGCAGAGGGACAGGAGUGUGCAUCAGAGUGCCUAUUUUUUUGAUGUCAGCAGCAGAUAUGAGUGCACUUCCCUCUGAAAAUCAGGACCAAUCCUUGUGCACCGAUAGCGAUCCAGCAUGCCAUGGCCCUACACAAAACCCUUCCAGUUUUCCAGGACAGUGCCUGUUGUUCAUUAAUAGUGAAGGGGGAAAUGCCACCUAUCUGUACAGCCAGAAAGUCAGUAUGUGUGAGAGCUGGAGAAUGUGGCAGAACCCAGCGAGAUUCUCGGGGUGGAAGAAAAGAGAUGAAAAGAAGUUCAGAUGCAG